GGGAACCGAAGAUGAAAGAAUAGUCUCCUGGCGAGGGUACAGUUGACAUCCUUCAAAAGUAUCCUGUCCCAGAUUGCGACAUAUGGUUCAUCAAGUUUGCAUGCGAUUUCCAAUUCAAAGCAGCAAUUAUAAGGAAUAGGGAAGGGAAGAUUUACCUUUGGGAUAUGCAAACCAGCCCGCCUGUUCUAAUUGCGA
Molecule: long non-coding RNA, 195 nt
Organism: Ipomoea nil (Japanese morning glory)
Lineage: Eukaryota; Viridiplantae; Streptophyta; Magnoliopsida; Solanales; Convolvulaceae
Exons: 3
Source: RefSeq, a predicted model, not a curated record